This 68-nucleotide transfer RNA is filed under the name Iphiteon panicea. RNAcentral's name for it is "tRNA-His". The record is from RNAcentral. Lineage: Eukaryota; Metazoa; Porifera; Hexactinellida; Hexactinosida; Dactylocalycidae.
AUAAAUAUAACUUAAAAAAAGUAAAGAUUUGUGAUAUCUUUGAUACAACCUAAAAGUUGUUAUUUAUC